UUUCUAUCUGUUGUGGACUGAUAAAAUGAAUAUGUGUAUCAAUUCCUCCGGCAGUUACGAUAAGACCUUCUCCAGCUAAAGCUUCUGUAGAAGCGCCAACUGUCAUACCUGGUGUAACAUUAUCCAUAGUAUCAGGAUUGCCCGCUUUUCCGAUAGCGACUAUUUUUCCAUUUUUUAUACCGAUAUCUGCUUUUACAAUACCUGUUACAGCAUCAAUGAUGAUGGCAUUAGUUAUUACUAAAUCGAGGUCUCCAUCAGAACUUUUUGUUGUAGCAGAUUGCCCCAUGCCAUCACG
Molecule: small RNA, 295 nt
Filed under: Megamonas funiformis
Lineage: Bacteria; Bacillati; Bacillota; Negativicutes; Selenomonadales; Selenomonadaceae
Description: 5' ureB small RNA
Rfam family: 5' ureB small RNA
Source: RNAcentral